Long non-coding RNA from Notolabrus celidotus (New Zealand spotty), 921 nucleotides. RefSeq lists it as uncharacterized. The record is from RefSeq and is a predicted model, not a curated record. NCBI's taxonomy places the organism in Eukaryota, Metazoa, Chordata, Actinopteri, Labriformes, Labridae. The transcript has 6 exons.
AUGGGUUCAUAAUUUACCAGGGACAGAGGGAUUAACGUCCUCAGGGUUGUGACGGGUUACGUUACGUCUGUUACGUCGUUCAAAGACGGAAUUUUUAAAAACCGUGAAACGUUGCAGGAGGACAACAUAGAGAUUUUCGAGUGACUAGAUUAGCAGAGUGUCGUCUAGCCAGCAUAAUUGCUGGAUCCCCUCUGCAGCUCCCAUGGAUUUAUGACUGCAACUGAAAUGCUGUUUGUAAAGAUAAGUGCUAUGGAGGAAAGGAGAAGAGAUGGAGGCAAGCUUGUACCUGGAGGUGGCUGAGCGCGGUCCACACUGCAUGAAGUAGGGAGACGAAACUGAAUCCCUGCAAGGAGCAAGCAACACGUGUUAGGACAGCUGCAGAUUGGUGAAGUGGCCGUGGCCUUCAAGGACAAGAAGCUCCUGCGAUACAUGCAAAACUUGAAUCUCAUCCCGAAUGUGUACUGAUCGUCAACUGUCUGGUGAUAAAUCCUCAAUCGUAGGCAAGCAAUACUGACUCAUCACACAGUCUCCAGAAUUAAUGGACAGCUGGCAACAAGAGUCCAUGUCAUGCAGACAGGCCCAUCCAGCCCUGCCUCCCCCAAGGUCACAGGCAGUCUCUCACAGAGCCACGGUACCAGAGCAGCAGAUGGUGUCAAAAUGAUGGCCUAUCAUUACUCAUCCAACGGGUUUACAGGUUAAGGCUUUAAGGCUUUCAGAACUCCCCAUGUGAUUGAGAGAUAUCAGGAUUUGGAAGUGAUCACAGUGUUCAGCUGCUGGCCUGCACGUCGGCAACCACUGAGAAAUGAACAAUCCAUGAAGAGGAACGGAUAACCCGGCCCGAAAGACUGGUAUUUGCCUCCCUAUAGCUGAUCACAAUCAAUAAAAAGUGUUACAUAAUCAUUGGCCAUCGGUACGAUUGGA